Molecule: long non-coding RNA, 565 nt
Filed under: Homo sapiens (human)
Lineage: Eukaryota; Metazoa; Chordata; Mammalia; Primates; Hominidae
Description: non-protein coding lnc-DCC-6:1
Source: RNAcentral
CUUAUUCAUGUUUGUAUUCUCCAUAGCCCUUAGCCCUGGCUCUGAAGCAUAAUAAGUGUUCAAUACUGACAAAGAGAUAGAUGGGUGACUAAAAGAAAGACAUCAUUCUCAGCAAACUAUGGCAAGAACAAAAAACCAAACACCGCAUGUUCUCACUCAUAGGUUGGAAUUGAACAAUGAGAACACAUGGACACAGGAAGGGGAACAUCACACACCGUGGACUGUCGUGGGGUGGAGGAAGAGGGGAGGGAUAGCAUUAGGAGAUAUACCUAAUGCUAAAUGACGAGUUAAUGGGUGCAGCACACCAACAUGGCACAUGUAUGCAUAUGUAAGAAACCUGCACGUUGUGCACAUGUACCCUAAAACUUAAAGUAUAAUAAUAAUAAAAUUUUUAAAAAAAGAAUAACAGUAAAAUGAAAAAAAAAAACAAGAAAUGAAAAGAUGAGAGUGAAGCUCGGACAUUAACUUAUGUGAGAAAACUCUGCCAGUAAAUGACAGAUCCAGGAUGUGACCUCAGACCUGUCACCAGAGCUUGUUCUCUUUCUUCUACAACACAUGCUUUAGC